Molecule: ribosomal RNA, 486 nt
Filed under: uncultured bacterium
Lineage: Bacteria
Description: bacterial SSU rRNA
Rfam family: Bacterial small subunit ribosomal RNA
Source: RNAcentral
GAUGAACGCUGGCGGCGUGCCUAACACAUGCAAGUCGAGCGUGAUUAAGUGGAGUGAGGACUUCGGUCUGAGUGAAACUUAUGAAAGCGGCGGACGGGUGAGUAACGCGUGGGCAACCUGCCCCAUACAAAGGGAUAGCCAUUGGAAACGGUGAUUAAUACCUUAUAAGUCGGUAGUCUCGCAUGAGAUAGCCGACAAAGAUUUAUCGGUAUGGGAUGGGCCCGCGUCUGAUUAGCUAGUUGGUGAGGUAACGGCUCACCAAGGCGACGAUCAGUAGCCGACCUGAGAGGGUGAUCGGCCACACUGGAACUGAGACACGGUCCAGACUCCUACGGGAGGCAGCAGUGGGGAAUAUUGCGCAAUGGGGGAAACCCUGACGCAGCAACGCCGCGUGAGUGAGGAAGGUCUUCGGGUCGUAAAGCUCUGUCAGGCGGGAAGAAAUGCAUGGAGGUGAACAGCCGCCAUGCUUGACGGUACCGCCAGAAC